AUAAUUUAUAGUUCUUGGUUUGAGAAAUGUCUUUCUAAAGUGUUUGGUCUUGCUAUCCACGGUGAUGAGAUUGAGUACUCCUUUCUGAGCGCGAAGCGGGCCGUGAUCGAAGAGUUUACUCUUCUGAUGUCUGCUUUUGAUGACCCUUCCUUGUUUCCCCUGGGGAUUUGGAGGAACGGAGUAUAAUCAGAGUGGUAAUAGUUUUAUGUACUUGUGAACGUUAAUAAUAAAUCGAAGUAGGUAACGUAGAUCUCAAUUUUUAUAAUUUGUUUAAUAAUUGUGACCGCACCCCACCUUUGACAUACUUCACAAGCGACAAUUAAAAUAAGCAACAGAAGUAUACAUUUGUCUGUACAUAAAAUCUACAUUGUUCAGAAAGACUGCAAUACGUGUUUUUCGUGAUUGUUACAAUUGUACCAUACAAAUACAUAUUAACAAAAUAGAUAUGAAGUGCUACAACAAAGGCUUGUAUAGCCUAGUAGUGAAUUCAUAGCUACAUCUUAUUGAGCAAAAGAGGCGGCGUUUUACGCCACCUGCCAAGUACACCCGCUCGACAAGAAGCGGCUCAACUCGUGCAUGUGCUACUGAGCUUGCUGAACAGACUGGAGUCUGGAGAAGUACUCAGGACCGCUUUCUUCUCGUCUUCAAAAGCAUCGGGAAGGAACUGCGUGCCCUUGUGUCAGUGAUUGACGUGAGGAAGUUUAUUCUGUUUUUUUUAGGAUCGACAGAAGCAUUAGACCAGGCUAUUCAUUCUGACUAGUGCACGGAUUCUACCUUCAAUACCGGACCACGACUGAGGAUUUAAAUAUUUUAAAAUGUAUUUAAAUAUGUAGAAGAAGACUGCUGGCAGACAACCGGUCCUAAACGGCACUAUUCAUUUUAAACCAUCUGCGCUUUUGUCUGGAAUGGAAAAGUGUCGUUUGAAAGCCUUGCUAAUCUAUGCUGAACUCAUCCCGUCCGUGAAAAUAUGAAAUAUAAAUAAUGUUUAACAUUGCUACAGAUGGGGAAACGUCCAGACCAUUCUCUAAGAAUUUAGAAGACUUUGAUUCCAUACGCAGUGUGCUUCUAUACAGCGACCUAGAGCCAGAAUGGCUGGACGACGUCCAGAAGAACGGCGAGCUCUUCUACCUGGAACUGAGCGAGGGCGAGGAAGCGGCGGCAUUGGCUCAGGCAGCCGCCAAUCACGUCCUCUCCACCAAUCACGUCCGCUUCAGCGAGAAGGAAGCGGAAAUCAUCAGCGACAAGUCCAGGAAGCUUCCUGAUGGUGCUCCAACCAAAGGAGAGCCCACGCUAAAAAGACUGUCCAGGAUCCUUAGGAGGAAGCGGCGACCAUCCCAGAGCAGAGGGCCCGACGGAGGAGGCGAAGACUCGUCAUCUCGACCAGUAUCCAUCUUGAAAAACCAGGCGGGGCAGAGGGUGGGGGUGAUGGUCCAGCAGCUGAAGGACGUGUUUCUCUACCUGAACCCCAAACGCCUGGGGAGCUGCUCCCCUCCUCCCCCGGAGAGAGGGGGUCUACUGGAGGCCCUUCUGGGGGUGGUGCAUCGCCCGUCCUGGGGCAGGGGCCAGGGAGACCCCGCAGGGAGGAGGGAGGAGAGGAUCACUGUCCACGGCCUGGUGCCCAACAGCCCGGCCGUCAAGUGUGCACAGAUACUGAUCGGUGACAACCUGGUAGCAGUAGACGAUGUCGAUGUUACCACAGAGAACAUUGAGAGGGUUCUGUCCUGCAUCCCUGGUCCUACCCAGGUGAAGCUGACCCUGGAGACAGCCAGUCCAGGAGGACCAGGGGAGGGAGGUGUGGACGUGUCCUCUGCUCCCAGGCUCAGGACCUCUCCUUCAGUCAGCCAGCUGGUGCGUCUGCUGUGGGGCGAGGACACGGUGGAGCUCCAGAUGUCUAUAGGACACAUCCCUCACAUUGUCAUGUACCUGUCACUCAAACUGGACUCAGACUCCCCCCUGGAAGAGCAGGAGAUCCUGUACCAGUACCCAGUGUCUGCGGCGUCCAGCCAGCUGAAGGGAGUCAGAGGGAUCUUUCUCACUCUGUCUGACAUGCUGGAGAAUGUCACUGGAGGACAGAUAGUCAGCUCCUCUCUUCUGCUCAGUAAACAGCUGGUCCAUGUGGGCUACUGGAAGGAGAGCAACAACCUGCUGGUGAUCGCCCUGCCUGCUGAGAGGGUUCCUCUGUUGUAUCUGCAGACGGUAGUGGGAGGUGCAGUGAGGACUCUCAAGGUGAUGCACGGCUCUCUGGACAGUGCAUUCUGCCAGGCGGACCACGCCCCCAGGCUGGACCAUUUCUUCUGCCUGUUCUUCCAGCAGCUCAUCCAGCCUUCCAGGUUGAGUGACAGCUCCGGGGCCACGCCCCCUGACCUAUCGGGGUCUCUCUUCCUGGACGGACUGCCAGCGGUCCGUUGGCUCCCUCUGCCCCCUGAGAUAAAGAUGGAGGUGGACACCGUUCUCUCAGACUUUGAAUCAUCAGAUUUCGGAGAAAUGUCAGAGGACUUCUAUGGCACGAGGCGUCUCUACGUGACACUGGGUUCCUGUCUGUUCUACAAGGGCUAUCUGAUAGCGAACCACCUCCCCAAGGAGGACCUGCUUGACGUCUCUCUCUACUGCCAGCACUACUGUCUCCUCCCCCUGGCUUCAGAGCAGCGCGUGGGCCAGCUGGUUAUCUGGAGAGAGGUGUUCCCUCACCACCGCUCACAGAUCCACCAGACCAAGAAGUACAAGACCAUUAACAAGCACUGUACCACGCCUGGCUACUGCCAGCCCAAGGGACGCUACUUCCUACUCAUAGUGGGACUGAGGCACUUCAUGCAGUGUGUUCUCCUGGAGGCUGGUGGCUGUGCGGCCCCUGUCACGGGGGCCCCAGGGCCCGACUGUGUGUACGUGGACCAGGUCAAGGCUACCCUCCUACAGCUGGAGGAGCUGGACGUAGGGAUGGAGGAACGCCUGGCCGCCCCGCCUGCCCCCUGCCUCUCCUGUGCUGACUGGUUCCUCCCCUCCUUCGCCCAUGACAGGUUAGACACCCUGGCUGCCUCGUCUCCUGUCCUCAGCAAGCUGGCCGGGGGCGUGAAGCCGCCCUCCUCGGCCCAGGGAGUAGGAAAGGUGGUGGGCUGGAGCCUGUUUGGAGGAGGCGCUCGGAGACCUAGCCCCCAGAGGAGUCAGUCAGACAGCGGGAGCGAGGGACAGUCGGACGGGGGUGUAGGAAGGCCGACUGGACUCAGUCCGCACUCCGCCCCGGACUCGGCCCGGAAGCUGGUCGGCCAGAGAGACUCGCUGGGUUCUGGAGGAUCUGAUGGGAGUCGAGGCAGUGGGAGCAUUUUCAAGAUUUCCAGGAUGAAGCAUCCUAACCCGUUCUACCUGGGCACCCUGGAGAAGAGUCUGACUGAGAGAGAGACAGAGGAGAAGUACAACACUAUGAAGUUGACGUCUGGGGCGGAGAACACUCUGUUCCACUAUGUGCUGAUGGAGAAGGUGCAGGGGAUCUUCAUCGCUCCUACACACAGGGAACUGGCCCAGUUCAGCGGCUCCAUCCACCCUCAGCUCAUUCGCAACUUCCACCACUGCUGCCUCUCCAUACGGGCUGCCUUCCAGCGGAGUCUGCCGCCCAGGACCUCUCUCUGUGUGAGUAGGGCAGGCCGGGUGCAGACAGACCCCAGGGGACCCAUGGGCUGGGCCCAGUGAAGGAACACGGGGUUCUGUUCCAGUGUAAACCUGAGAACUGGACCGACCAGAGGAAGCCGGCUCCCACCAUGACCUACUGGGUUAUAGGCCGGAUGCUUCUAGAACCCGUCCCUCAGGAAUUCUACGUGUGUUUCCAUGACUCUGUGGCAGAGGUUCCCGUGGAGAUGGCCUUCCGCCUGUCUUUCGGCCUGGCCUUGUGACGAGCCGUCUGCCAACAGUCUCUUAUGAACUCUGGUAACACUACUACCUAUCGGCAGACAGACAACAGCAGCGCACAACCCUGUUCAUUAGGCACCAAACAGAAGAAAACAGUCAGGGAGAGAGUACAUAAACACCAAUAAGAAACACUUGUUCACGUUUCUAUCACAAAAUAUUUUGCUACGGUUUUCCCUAAUGAACACAACCCUGGUCUUAAAGGUUUCACAGUUGACCUCAACGCCUGCUUCCUGUCAGUCUGAGAUAUUCUGGGAUCUAAGAGUCCCUCUUGUGCCUUGAUCACCUGACAGGCAGGUAAAAGGAAACCUCGCAGACCAAGGUUGUUCUCUGUUAGCCUUGGAUCAGCUCCAGUGGAACAGGACUGCAUUCAGAUAGAAAUGUUACGUGGAACAAACAUGAGGAAUAAGGAAUCACGUCAGCUCUGUUCAUGACAUUUCUAUCUGUAACAUCCCACUACGCUUGCCUACUAAACAGGUUUUGGGGCGGCAGCUAACCUAGUGGUUAGAGCGUUGGGCCAGUAACCCGAAAGGUUGCUGGAUUGAAUCCCCGAGCUGACAAGGUAAAAAAUCUGUCAUUCUGCCCCUGAACAAGGCAAUUAACCCACUGUUCUCCUGGUAGGCUGUCAUUGGAAAUAAGAAUUUGUUCUUAACGGACUUGCCACCAUGUUGUGUCCAAAAUGGCUCCCAGCUCCCUAUGUAAUGAAUAGAUUCUGACUCUGGGUGUGUGGAAGGACAAGCCACUAAAAACUGAGUAAUAAUACCUCAGAAAACAUGCUGGAUUUUAUUUUUUUAACAGGUAGAUGUGAGUUUGCAGGGAAAGCAUUGUUCUGCUGUUCUGGUCAUAGCAAUAUCUCAUUCUAGUUCUGUGGGUCUGACAUUCCUGUUAGCUAAAGUGUGCCAGACCAAAUAAUAUGGGAAAAGUCUAAACAGCAUUCUUGGGACAUACCAACUCUUACGUCAUGCCAUUGCAGUUGAAAUGUAAAACGCUAAGGGUUAAGGUUCGGAACGUCCCAAGGAUCCCAAACAGCACUGACCAAAUAAUGACUGUUCUUGCCUGCUAUCUUCUCCACAUUACCUAAGGCUGUGUUGCCAUGCCAGAGUUCUAUUCAUGUUGCUGUUUUGGAGGAAGAUAAAUGUGUUAUGGUAUUUUAUUUAAGAUGUACAGUAUUUUGUAUGGAAAUGUAAUAAUUUGUGAUAAUUAAAAGAAACAUUUGUUUCCUCUGGGU
Non-coding RNA from Salmo salar (Atlantic salmon), 5122 nucleotides. NCBI's taxonomy places the organism in Eukaryota, Metazoa, Chordata, Actinopteri, Salmoniformes, Salmonidae. The record is from RefSeq and is a predicted model, not a curated record.